RNAcentral lists this unclassified non-coding RNA (3376 nucleotides) under Leishmania donovani. RNAcentral's name for it is "gene:LdHU3.35.3880(CDS-product:denn_domain-contai ning_protein)". The record is from RNAcentral. Lineage: Eukaryota; Euglenozoa; Kinetoplastea; Trypanosomatida; Trypanosomatidae.
AAAAAAAGUACAUGCCCUUGCGCGAGGUGGGCUUAUCUUGAUCGUCCUUCACGAACGACACAAAAACGGCAAGAGAAUCGGCACAGAAGCAUCUGCCGUCACUGUGAGCACAAACGAAGAGGGGCUACGAACCAAGAAGGGCAAGAGGUGUGAGGGCGGCAUAGGCGGCGAGCGAAUCAAUCACGGCGGAAAAGGGCACCCUCCGCAGCAAAGGCUUUUCCAGUGGCAACGUGCAACCACCUUGUCGUUACGCCGCUGGCCACUGCCUUUUGGUUCUCAGCGUGCCCUCUUCUCGUCUUUACCGCCUUUGUUUGUUCUAGGUUGGCUCGUCGCGACAGUGCCGCGCCGUAAUAGGGGAGCGCCUUUCAUUGGCUUUGAGUGCGCAUGGGGCUACGACUCCAUGAGAAAGGCACACGAAGCAGUUCUCCCCCGCCCCCUCACCACCACCUUGCCUUCGGUUUUUGUUUUCGGCGGUGGCCCGUGCUGCUGCGUUCCAAAAUCCUCCAUCCGAGGGGCUUUGUGGUGCGAAACCCCACCCCUGUCGGAUGCGCUUGUGGUUCUUUUUCCUUUCUCUUUUUCGUUUGUUGUUUUGCAGCGGUCGCUAAUUUUCUAGAAGCGAAGCCAUGGGGACCGUUAUCGACGAGGGCUCCCAAUUCCACGAGGUGAACGAGUCCUUCGUGAGAUAUCGCAAGAAGGAGACUGCCUUCACCUCCAAGUCAGAAAUCUUCUACAACAAGGGCAACGAGCACAGCUGCAUCAACUGCUUCCUCGUAAUGCGGCUGGAGCGGCACGCGAGCGGGGAGGAGGUGGUAAAGAUUUCCUGGUCCUACCCGUACACGCCGGCGACGUCGCUACUGAGAUACCCGAAUUUAGGCAAGUUCGCAAUGGCAAACUCCGGCACCUCGUACACGGUGGACCAGCUUAGCUACACGUUUGUACUGACAGAUAGCAAAGGCGUUCGCGAGUAUGGACACACGACGGCCUUUGUGAACGGUGAGGCGGUUGUGACCAUCUCUCCAUACCCGUGGUGCAACUUCUUUUACCGACUCGCCUACCUGUUCGUCACAAAUGGGCACGAGGGAGGACAGAAACUCGUGAAGGCUCUGUGCAAGUGCCCCACGCCGCCGUCGGGAGGCAUGUUCAACACUCCGCUCGACCUUGGUUUGACUUUUAAUCGCCCCUAUGAUCGCCUCUGCUCCUUCAUCGACACGGCACCGCUCGACAUGCUCUUCAUUUUUCCUAACAUGGACGAUCUCUUCUCCGUUUUGGCGGACCUGAUGUUGGAGAAGCACAUCAUCAUCGUGGGCCCAAACUUCUCCAUUGUGUCGAAUGUCGUCAUGUCGCUGCAGGCGCUGGUUGCACCGUUCGACUGGAUGCACAUUCUUAUUCCAAUUCUUCCAACCUCGCUGCUCGACGUGCUGGCCGCGCCCCCGCCGUACUUGGUCGGCAUCCUCACGUCCCAGCUACCGCAAGUGGCGCGUGUACCACUCGACUCGGUCGUGGCCGUCCACCUCGGCCCCGGCGGCGUCUGCGAGCGCGUCGAUUACCAGAACGAGACCCGAGAUCAUCUGCCGCACUCCGGCAAGCUCAGCGCGCUGCGGACAGGGCUGUCUAUACUGCGGAUGCGGCACCCAAAGGACCAGACGGUGCGCGACCUAUGUAGCUUGUUUCUCACUUACUACGCCUCUCUCUUUGGCGAGAUCGUGCUGAAGGGGAAGCGCGGGUACGAGCGCGACAAGAGGGUACUGGGGAGCACGAGCGUUUUCUUUGAGAAGCUGCUUUGCACGCAGAGCUUCACAAUCUUGAGCGAGGAAGUCAAGAGAGCGCUCGAAUCCCCCAACUCUAAUGACUGGAUGGACAACGAGUUCAUCGUCGCCGCGGUGCGCGGACAGCGGGACAUGUUCCCGAUGCACUACGAGGCCCUUGUUCGGGAGGAGAAAAACGGUGGCGGGUUUAUUGAGAAGUACGAGGACUGUUUCGGUAGUAAGGAGAGCUUCAAUGGCUUUACAGCUGCCGUGCACGGCUUUGGUGGCCAUCCGCUGGGCGUUGGACGCCUCUUCAUUAGGUGCUUGUGCUCCCGCUGGUGCGGCUCCGACUUGUCGGAAGAGAACGACGACAGUUACUACCCGGGUCGCCGCAUGGGGCAGGCGAUUCUGCAGCACCGCUACUAUUCCUCCUCAGGCGAGGCCCCUGUAAUCACCAACGAAAUGAUGAUUGAGGUGCCGUCGACGCAUGCGUCGGCGCCGGAGGGCGCGCGCGAGUUCGAGGUGUCCGUUCAUGCGAUGACGUCAUCGCCCACCUAGACAUGGCCUGUCGAGUGCUUCCCUUGUUGAGGGUAACGGUGAUCACAUCCCUGCGAGACAGGUGUCCUUGCGGGUGGGAAGCAUUGCCUGCCCGCCGACACAAAGGGACUAAGCGCCGUUUUCACGUUACAUGCGUGUGCGCGCUCGACGGAGUGGCGAUAUUGUUUCGUUUUUCUUUUGUUUUUAGUUGCCCCCUUCUGUGUGUGUGGUGGUAAGACAGAGACAGACGUUUUGCGUUCUUCGUCUGCGCCCACCCUGUCGCUGUUUUUUUUUUUCAGUGAUGUCCUCUGAGAGUGUCGAUGUCUGUGAUGCGUUCAUAGGCGCACGUUCGAGUACGCUCACAAGUGAGCUGUGCACAUAAUGUAAAUGUUCUUCGCGUGCCUUCCGUUCUGCCAUGGCUGUUUGUUAGCUUGUUUGGCUCCCCUUUUUUCGGUAUGUAGGUGUGGUGCGAUGUUGUGUACAAUAUGUCUCUCCCUCUCUCUGUGUCCUCCGCGUUCCCUCUCCGUUUCUGGAGUGCUGUGUCAUGUGGGCCCACGUGGAUGGCAGCUCCACCCUCCCCCGGGCUGGAAAAAAAAGGUUACUUUCAUUUUUGCAGCGUCUCUAAUCUUGCGAGGUGUAUUAUUCCGUCGUCGUAGCGGCUGCUGGGUGUCGUUGUUGGUAUGCCUUACCUGUUCCGUCAAGCAUCUUUUUCUCUUGCCUCUCUCUCUCGCUAGCACACGCUCCCCCCCCCCUCCUUCCCUCGCCUUUUUCCUCUUUUUGUUGUUCUGCGUCUUACCCCGUUUUCACCUUCACAGUCUUGCUUUGACUCCUCACCAUCUUGAGUAUCUCCGUCCUAUGAAAGAACAUAGAGACAACAAAACGAAAGGGCAAAUCCCCCCCCCCCCAACAAAAGAAUUGAGGGCCGGUUCACCUCUUGUUUCUAUGCGUGGGGUUCUGCAACCCCUCAUCUUCUCUAGAGCCGACUGCUUGCUCGUCCACGCGCCGUAGGUGUUGCAGGUUGGGAUGAGCUACCCAGUCGUUAAAAUCGCGUUUGAAUCUCACGCAGCGGUUCUCGCUGACCGACCAAAGUGGCG